This is a long non-coding RNA of Astyanax mexicanus (Mexican tetra), 994 nucleotides long. RefSeq lists it as uncharacterized. Lineage: Eukaryota; Metazoa; Chordata; Actinopteri; Characiformes; Acestrorhamphidae. The record is from RefSeq and is a predicted model, not a curated record. The transcript has 4 exons.
UGCCUAACAGUGCCAUCAUGUCCAUCAAUGUGGGGGAGGUGGAGCUUCGGAAGAAAAACUGAAGAGACAGUGUUUUUUUGUUUGCUGGUGUCGCUGCACAGUAUGCAAUCUUCUAACCUUCUCCUGAGUGCUAGGGAGCUGCUUGGAGGAGCCUAUAGACAUUUACUGUUGGGACAAGUACAUGAGAACGUAAACAUUACACUUGACGGAAUGGUAAAACACUGGUUCUGCUGUGGAACGACAGCGUCGCCAGCUGGCCGUUCAAACCCAUCUGCGCACACUGCGAUCAAAUGCAGCAUUAGAAGGUGUGCAGCAUUCAGAUUCAGGAGGUAAUGGGGAGGAAUCCUCUCUGGAUUGAUGUGUGGAAGAGAGCUGCCCAGGUGAGUCAGUUCCCCUCACAGACAUCUCCAUACGAAUACACUAAGAGUUAGAGAGAAAUAGACGAUAAAUGAGAAAUUGGUACAGACCAAAGCUCAAAACACAUGCAAGCCAGCAUUGUUACAUCAUGUACUACAUACGUGGGGAUUGAGGGCGGUGAGGAAGAAGUGUAUGUGUGUAUAGAUAGUGGGUGAGUAAGGAAGGAGGUGUGUGUAAGUGUCUGCAGGUAAAUGUGAGUGUUGGAUGAGUGAAUAUUGAGGGGUUGAGGGAAAGAGUGUCUGUGUAGAAGUGAACAAGUGACAGAGUAAGUCUGUGUAGGAGUGAGUGAGGCAAAGAAUGAGUGUUGAGUAAUAGAUGGAAAGUGAGUCUGUAGAAAUGAGCGAGGGAAAGAGUGAGUGUGUUGAGUGUCUGUGUAGGAAGGCAUGAGUGAAAAAUCUUUCUGUGGAAAGGAGCGAGGAAUGAAGGAGUGAGUGUAGAGUCUCUGUCUAAGAAGUAAGGAGUGUGUGUGUGUGAGUGAGAGGAAGUAAGGAUUGAGUGAGUCUGUCUUAAGGAGGAAGAGGUGUGUGCGCGUGGGAAGGAAGAAAGGAGUGUCUGUGUAAGAGUUGUCAGCUUACCU